This is a small nucleolar RNA of Suncus etruscus (white-toothed pygmy shrew), 132 nucleotides long. RefSeq annotates it as small nucleolar RNA SNORA51. The transcript has a single exon. Lineage: Eukaryota; Metazoa; Chordata; Mammalia; Eulipotyphla; Soricidae. The record is from RefSeq and is a predicted model, not a curated record.
GGCCUCCCAUUCUUGCCACAGGUUGUGUUUUUUACACUGACUGUAUAGAAAGAGAAAGUACAAUAAAUGCACCUCAUAUACACCUCAACCCAGGCCAUUUACAUUGUCUGUAUUGUAAAUUGGGGGCCAUAG